ACGCUCGACACCUACGGGGGCAGCAGUGGGGAAUAUUGGGCAAUGGGCGCAAGCCUGACCCAGCAACGCCGCGUGAAGGAUGAAGGCUUUCGGGUUGUAAACUUCUUUUAACAGGGACGAAAUAAAUGACGGUACCUGUUGAAUAAGCCACGGCUAACUACGUACCAGCAGCCGCGGUAAUCUGAGCGGGCUGGCAAGGC
This 200-nucleotide ribosomal RNA is filed under the name uncultured bacterium. Its description in RNAcentral is "partial 16S ribosomal RNA". It matches the Rfam family "Bacterial small subunit ribosomal RNA", at positions 328 to 539 of the family's 1533-position model. The record is from RNAcentral.